GACGGAGGAUGCAAGCGUUAUCCGGAAUGAUUGGGCGUAAAGCGUCCGCAGGUGGCAGUUCAAGUCUGCUGUCAAAGACCGGGGCUUAACUUCGGAAAGGCAGUGGAAACUGAACAGCUAGAGUAUGGUAGGGGCAGAGGGAAUUCCUAGUGUAGCGGUGAAAUGCGUAGAGAUCAGGAAGAACAUCGGUGGCGAAGGCGCUCUGCUGGACCAUAACUGACACUCAGGGACGAAAGCUAGGGGAGCGAAUGGG
Molecule: ribosomal RNA, 253 nt
Filed under: uncultured bacterium
Lineage: Bacteria
Description: partial 16S ribosomal RNA
Rfam family: Bacterial small subunit ribosomal RNA
Source: RNAcentral